CCUACGGGUGGCAGCAGUGAGGAAUAUUGGUCAAUGGGCGAACGCCUGAACCAGCCAAGUCGCGUGAGGGAAGACUGCCCUAUGGGUUGUAAACUUCUUUUGUCAGGGAGCAAAUGGCGCUACGUGUAGCGUUAUCGAGAGAACCUGAAGAAAAAGCAUCGACAAACUCCGUGCCAGCAGCCGCGGUAAUACGGAGGGUGCGAGCGUUAUCGGGAUUUAUUGGGUUAAAGGGGUGCGUAGGCGGAAUGCCAAGUCAGAGGUAAAAUCGCGGGGCUAAACCUCGCUCUGCCGUUGAAACUGGGGUUCUUGAGUGGACGAGAGGUAUGCGGAAUGCGUGGUGUAGCGGUGAAAUGCAGAGAUAUCACGCAGAACUCCGGUUGCGAAGGCAGCAUACUGGCGCCCAACUGACGCUGAGGCGCGAAAGCGUGGGUAGCGAACAGGAUUAGAUACCCCAGUAGUC
This 460-nucleotide ribosomal RNA is filed under the name uncultured bacterium. RNAcentral describes it as "partial 16S ribosomal RNA". It matches the Rfam family "Bacterial small subunit ribosomal RNA", at positions 338 to 795 of the family's 1533-position model. The record is from RNAcentral.